UGUCAUAUUUUUAUUUUUUAUUUUUAAUUUUAAUCGGUGGGCCCCAUAUUUAACUACCUAAAAUCCUCCUUUAGUUUUGGGAUAUUUCCAAAAUCGUAAGAACCCUAAAUCGAUACUAGGGUCGCAAAAAUUGAGAGUUUCUUUCGUAAUUUCUUUGAAUUAUUAUAUGGUUUUCCUGUGUUCUUAAAUUUCGAGUAGAGGCAUGAGUUUCAAUUCUGUUUCUGGGUCUGGGUCAACCUCGUGGCGCGGUCGAUGGCAGUUUGAGAG
Molecule: long non-coding RNA, 267 nt
Filed under: Salvia miltiorrhiza (redroot sage)
Lineage: Eukaryota; Viridiplantae; Streptophyta; Magnoliopsida; Lamiales; Lamiaceae
Description: long non-coding RNA (SMIL_LNC014093)
Source: RNAcentral